Molecule: transfer RNA, 70 nt
Filed under: Rattus norvegicus (Norway rat)
Lineage: Eukaryota; Metazoa; Chordata; Mammalia; Rodentia; Muridae
Rfam family: tRNA
About the family: Transfer RNA (tRNA) molecules are approximately 80 nucleotides in length. Their secondary structure includes four short double-helical elements and three loops (D, anti-codon, and T loops).
Source: Rfam by way of RNAcentral
GGGGAUUUAGCUCAGUGGGUAGAGCACUUGCCUAGCAAGCGCAAGGCCCUGGGUUCGGUCCCCAGCUCCG